Molecule: ribosomal RNA, 633 nt
Filed under: Conoideocrella luteorostrata
Lineage: Eukaryota; Fungi; Ascomycota; Sordariomycetes; Hypocreales; Clavicipitaceae
Description: SSU rRNA
Rfam family: Eukaryotic small subunit ribosomal RNA
Source: RNAcentral
GUUAAAAAAGCUCGUAGUUGAACCUUGGGCCUGGCUGGCCGGUCCGCCUCACCGCGUGUACUGGUCCGGCCGGGCCUUUCCCUCUGUGGAACCCCAUGCCCUUCACUGGGUGUGGCGGGGAAACAGGACUUUUACUUUGAAAAAAUUAGAGUGCUCCAGGCAGGCCUAUGCUCGAAUACAUUAGCAUGGAAUAAUGAAAUAGGACGUGCGGUUCUAUUUUGUUGGUUUCUAGGACCGCCGUAAUGAUUAAUAGGGACAGUCGGGGGCAUCAGUAUUCAAUUGUCAGAGGUGAAAUUCUUGGAUUUAUUGAAGACUAACUACUGCGAAAGCAUUUGCCAAGGAUGUUUUCAUUAAUCAGGAACGAAAGUUAGGGGAUCGAAGACGAUCAGAUACCGUCGUAGUCUUAACCAUAAACUAUGCCGACUAGGGAUCGGACGAUGUUAUUUUUUGACUCGUUCGGCACCUUACGAGAAAUCAAAGUGCUUGGGCUCCAGGGGGAGUAUGGUCGCAAGGCUGAAACUUAAAGAAAUUGACGGAAGGGCACCACCAGGGGUGGAGCCUGCGGCUUAAUUUGACUCAACACGGGGAAACUCACCAGGUCCAGACACAAUAAGGAUUGACAGAAUUGAGAGA